AGCGAACGCUGGCGGCAGGCCUAACACAUGCAAGUCGAACGGACCCUUCGGGGUUAGUGGCGGACGGGUGAGUAACACGUGGGAACGUGCCUUUAGGUUCGGAAUAGCUCCUGGAAACGGGUGGUAAUGCCGAAUGUGCCCUUCGGGGGAAAGAUUUAUCGCCUUUAGAGCGGCCCGCGUCUGAUUAGCUUGUUGGUGGGGUAAUGGCCCACCAAGGCUACGAUCAGUAGCUGGUCUGAGAGGAUGACCAGCCACAUUGGGACUGAGACACGGCCCAAACUCCUACGGGAGGCAGCAGUGGGGAAUCUUGCGCAAUGGGCGAAAGCAUGACGCAGCCAUGCCGCGUGUAUGAUGAAGGUCUUAGGAUUGUAAAAUACUUUCACCGGUGAAGAUAAUGACUGUAGCCGGAGAAGAGCCCCGGCUAACUUCGUGCCAGCAGCCGCGGUAAUACGAAGGGGGCUAGCGUUGCUCGGAAUUACUGGGCGUAAAGGGAGCGUAGGCGGACAUUU
This 509-nucleotide ribosomal RNA is filed under the name uncultured bacterium. RNAcentral's name for it is "bacterial SSU rRNA". It matches the Rfam family "Bacterial small subunit ribosomal RNA", at positions 28 to 584 of the family's 1533-position model. The record is from RNAcentral.